GAGGGCGGCGCGAGCGGUUGCGCGAAGAACUAGUAGCGAACUACUAGCGAAUCUGGCGGAAAAACAAUCAAAACCUCUUCUGACAGUUCCCACGCGAAGCAAUUUCCUCGAAUUAACUUGCGCAGUUCUUGUGGAAAAAUCGGGAAAAUAUUGAAGAAAGUCCCGUAAAACCCAGUGAAAAGGUGUGUAAAAACUCUUGAAUAUAUUUCUUUGUGCUGCAAAGUGAGAAAAAAUAGGUGUAUUUGUGAAAAAUUGCAUCAACGGCGACCAGCGAAAUUCUCUGGAGGUGUCAUUCCACAGUUUCCAGGUAUGAAACCGCAGCAAAAAUUGCUACGGGUCCACACCAGAACAUGCUAGAGCACCCUUCAUCGCUAAUCUCCGGAAGUGAACCCCCAUUGCCCAUUCAAAAAGAGCCACGAAUCUGGCGUCCUCCCCACUUCACUGGUGAAGACCGACUGAGCGAUAUCGUCACUUGAAGUUAGCUGUGGUUACAACACCUCUCAAAGUUACACCCCAACUGGACAAUGAUUGGUACUGUUGGCUUAGAAGAGUCUUUGUCGAGACGGGCUUUCUCCCCAACUCCUCUAGGCUCAACAGUCCUACUACAAUACAUUGAUGUCACGAUGAACAGCAUCUUUUUAUUUCAAGUGGUAACAGACCAUCAGAAUGGAUUGUAUGCAAUAUCAUACGGUAUAAGAGAUCCUGGUAAAAGGCAUAUGAAUAUAUCACUUGUGUUUUGCUGAUUUGUGUUAUAGAAACAAAUUCUAUUAGAUGGACUUAAGCUUGAAAGGCAUUCAAUUGUUCAGAAUAAUUAUAAAAAGCAAUGUAUUUAUUAAAAUCUAUUUUUAAAAUAAAUUUACUGUCUAUUAGAAAGUCUCUUUUAUACCCUACUCAAACCUAAUUUUCAAGUUUUUGACAAAAUAUUUAAAUUCUGUGUCAUGCUGGAUCCACAUAAUGAUUCGUGCUUCAGAUUCGCCUAGGUUUUUGCAAUUUGACAAAACUUCUGGGUAAAUGUAAGUAUUUUGAUAAACAAACAAACUAUGAUUCUAUCUAUCGAUUAUAAUAUCACUGAUUUUGUACUUCGUUAGCAUUACAGUAAACGUAACACUUCAUGCUGAUAUUUAAACUUUGGUUAAAAAGCAAUGCCCUAUUUUUGUAAUUUCAUAUGCGUUCCAUAAUAAUUUAUCGCCACUUUAACCCUCUAACUGGUAAGACCUCUCGAGACGAUCUUCACAAAAAUCACAUUUACUGCGAUUACAAUUUAUUUAAAAGUGCUAUAAUGUCCUCGGUAUACUAACAUCUUUUGAAAGUUUGAUCUCAUUUUGACUUCGUUUAGUUGCUAUCCCCAGUUUUGUGUGACACGUCAGAGAAAAGCAACAAAAAAUAUUUGUACAGAACAAACUCAUUUCUAAUUCCAAGAAAAAUACCGGUUUAAAGUUAUCUGAGUAAAAUAAAUUUAUUUUUUACUUAACUCUUUCCGAACCACAACAUAUCCAGCGAACGAAUUUCAGUAAAACUCACUUUAUUGUAAGUCUUAGUGAUCAAAUAUGAUACUUUUGUAGAGAAAGAAUUUUGUCCGCCUCUGGGAAAUUGGAAAACUCAUGGGUACUCUCGUCCCCAAAAGAGCGAAAAGGAGACAAACUUCAAUUUUCCAAAAGCCAAUAAUAUCAAUUUUGUGAAUUGUUUUUGCGUGUUAAAUGACUCCUUUACAAUGUUGAUCACUAAAACAAGAAGAAUUAUUGACCAGUAUCUUGUGGGAUGUCCAGGAAGUGGUCAAGAAGACACCAAGUUUCUGCUUGCCAACAGAUUCCUCAAAAUAUUUCACAUAAUAACACUUUAAAACACAUUUCCUUCAACACGAAGUUAUUGUAGACAUAUUAAGCUUUCUCAAGAGCCAAAAAAACACUUCUUGGACAAACAGAAUUCACCAAAAUCCGGAAGAAUAGGAGAAACUUCCCCGAAAGCAAUCUGCCUCGCUGCCAAAUGUCAAAAUUAUCAGCCAUAUUGGCAAAAAAGUAGUUCCCGCUUGGAAUUUUGAUAAAAGGUUGGUGUCAAAAAGCAAAUGGCAGGCAUUGGCGGG
Molecule: long non-coding RNA, 2080 nt
Organism: Phlebotomus papatasi
Lineage: Eukaryota; Metazoa; Arthropoda; Insecta; Diptera; Psychodidae
Exons: 3
Source: RefSeq, a predicted model, not a curated record